Triticum urartu is the source of this 5243-nucleotide non-coding RNA. The record is from RefSeq and is a predicted model, not a curated record. Lineage: Eukaryota; Viridiplantae; Streptophyta; Magnoliopsida; Poales; Poaceae.
UAGGGUUUGAACCGCCGCCGCCGCAGUCCCUCCACCCCACGGCCGCUCAUGGCGCGGCGGAGGCGGCGGCUCCUUUUGCCCUCGUCUUGCGCGGCAUCUCUACUUUCUCUCGCCCUCUUAUCUGCCAUUAGAUCUUGAUUUUCUGUUGUUUUUGUGCAGUGAUGAUUGCUUUAUUUCUGACACCUCUUGUACGAGAAGCGCCAUUGUUGCACUUCGCUGAGCAGAUUGCAGCAAACAUAUCUGAGCACAAUCACGCGCUAAUUUGUUUGUUUAUUUUUGAUGGAUUUGCAACAACUAGCAUCUUGGUAAGAAUCGCUGGCCGUGAUGAGCACUGCUUAUUUCUGACACCUCUUGUAUGAGAAGGGACUAGUCCCUUCCAUGAGCAGAUUAGCAACCCUCUGAGCCCAUCUUAUGAUCAAGAUCUCUUUCUGUGAAUGUUCCUUCUCCGCUUGGUUGUUUGUCUUGUCAUUUGGCUUCAAUAUGAGCAAUAGCUGUGAUGAGCAUCGCUUCCUUCUGACACCUCUUGUAUGAGAAGUGCGCCUCUCUCCAGAGAGGCGCCCUUCGUUGAGCAGAGUAUAGCAACUGUCUGAGCUUUGCUUUAUGUUGCUUGCGCCAGCUUUACAAUUUUCGUUGACCAGAGUAUAGUCUGUUAGAUGGUUCACUCUUAGAUUAGUUGCGUGUCCUUUUUGUUUGCAAUUUUAGUACUCCCUCUGUAAACUAAUGUAAGAGUGUUUAGAUCACUAUUUUAGUGAUCUAAACACUCUUAUAUUAGUUUAUGGAGGGAGUAUGUUAUUGUACGUAUCUCGUGCAUAUUUGUAUGGUAGGCGAUUUAGAAUUUAUAAUUAGGGGCCUGUCGUCCUGUAGCUUUGAAAUUCUCUGUUUUUUGUUAACGUUGCAUUUUUUGCUUACCUGAAUGACCGCUGUUCUUGGUGAUUUGAUGGAACUUCUGUUGCUGAUUUCAAUUUAAUUUUGCUAUUCUUGAACUGAUAAAACAAGUCAAGAUAACUGUCCUCUCACAUCUGAUUUGUUGAAGAGCUACGAGAUGCGAGUUACAUAGUGGCACGAGAUUCACUCAUGCACUAUGCAGCUGAAUCCACUGCAAGCCAACUGAAGAAACAAACUCAAAGUGUGGUGAUUAUCAGUUCAGAAUUAAUCUUAGAGGGUGUUUGUUUCCAAGACUUAUUGGUUUAGGGACUUAAAAAAGUCUCUAGAAGUCCCAUCUAAACCAAACAGGAGGUCUUUAUAGGGACUUAAAGUGGGCAGUUGGGACUUGUGAAAUAAGACUCUCAAGGAGGGACUUAUAGGGACUUGUAGUUAUAAUAUGGUCUUUUAGUCCAUGUUAAGUCCCAGGAACCAAACAGGUAGGGACUUAAGACUUAUAAGUUGGGACUAAAAAAGUCCCAGGACUUAUGAACCAAACAGGGCCUUAUUGCAUUCAACAACACAUAAAAAACAAUGUUAAAGAUGCACUUAUGGUUAACUGGGAUUGAUUGCUCCCAACAUUGAGGAAUUCAUCAAUAGAUAGAUCAUGAGCAGCCCAGUCUUAAUUUUGUGUGUUGUCUCUUGUCUCAACUUGUGAUUUGUUUGUGCUUCGUCAUCUGGUCAUUGGGAUGUUCAGUCUCUUGAGGCUGAUUUGUUUCCACUGGACUCGUUCCCUUGAAGCAACAGUGUUCUGUUGUAUAUGAGUUAGCCCCUCUUUUGCCCUUUGGCAUCUCUCUCCCAGGGCAUUGGCAGCUCUUACAUAAAUGCACACGUCACACAAAAAUUCCUGUCGACACGUUCUUGGUAAUUUGAUUUUGACAGCUGUGAUGAGCCCAUUUUACAGUUACAGACCUGUAAUGACUCCUGUGGAAAUGAUCGCAUGGUCGAAGAACAUCUAAGGGACUGAGUUGUUUGCUAUCAGUGGUUUAGAUAUUUCUCUGUUUGUUUUGAUUUUCUUAUCUUAACAGUAUUUGUGCCUGUAAAUCUGUAUGGAUCUUGGGUAAUGAGAAGAUGGAGAAAGCAAAUGUUACUGUCACUAUCCAGUGUGGAAUUUGUGAAAUUUUAUGAAAUUUCAGCUGGUCUUUAUUCCCACAGCCCUACAUGAGGAGUAAUUUUCUUGUCUUGCACGAUCUUGGGUAAUAAAGAUCAGAUGUGUAAUUUUCUUGUCUUGCACGAUGCUGACCCUGGGUUUGUCGGAUGGAUCUCGGUUCUCUGUGAUGAAGGAAAGCCCCAAUGCUGUGGAGAUUGUUUUGGUGGCAAUGAUUAUUAUCUUUCCCGUGUUUCUGAUUUAACUCCUGAAGUAUAAGGGAAAACAUGGUUGAAUUUCUUAAAGCCACUGUAAAUACCAAAUCCUUUACUUUAUGAUCUUGGUUUAUGUUGUUUGUUCAUGGUGGUGAUGAUAAACACUUUCAGCAAACAUGCCAGUUCUGCUUCUGAAAAUUCAUGACUGAAAAGCCUGUAAUAUACUGAUCUGAGCCAUGAUCAAUCAUCUUUUAUCUAUUGUACAAUCCUAGUUUAGUUUCUGAUCCUGUAAUACUACAAAUUCGUUUGAAGACUUUAUGAUGCAUAUCCCACCAGGAUCCUGUUUGCAGGAUGAACCUACCUGGAGGCUUGAAAUUGAUGGGCAAGUCUGAGGUUCUCUGAUGAAAGAUUUUUCUUUCUUUUGGUUGUUGGUCUCUGUUUUGUUGCCGAGUUUGACUAUCCUCUUGCAAGUUUUUCUGAUUUGUGGAAGAGGCUGAAAAUCUUGGUAGAGCGUGUGUUGUCAUCAGCUUUGUCUCUUGUUCCUAUGAGAUGGGAGUUAAAUAAUGACACAAAAUUUAACAAAUUUCCACUGCGUCCCUGCAGCAAUUGCAACUGUAUGGAGAAACAAGCUGAGAUAUUGUUCUAGAACAAGUUACCUGGGCCAUAUUCUAAACUUGAAACCUGAUUGAGUAACAGUUGCCAUGAAAUGAAUUAGCUGUGAAUUGUGAAAUGGAAUUGAAUUUGCUGACGCUGGUAGCACGAAUUAGUAGCUAAUGUGGUAACGGUACAGACAUUUCACUCGUAAGUGAAUGACGCUUGGAACAUCUUUAUGUCUUUGUUCUAUACCCCAUCAACUUAAAACCAGUGAAUGGUUAAAGCAAGAGAUUUCUACUGGGUUAUCUUAACAUUUCUUAACCAAGAGAUUUCUACUGUGUUAUCUUAUCACUUGUUAAUUUCUGGAACUUAGGUGUUUGACUUCUCUUCAUGGUAAUUUCGUCUGGAUGAAGUUGUUUUCCUUUCAUGUUAGGAGUUUUAUGAAAUUUCAGCUGGUCUUUAUUCCCACAGCCCUACAUGAUGAACUUCAUAUUUUAGCUAUGGAUUUAUGUCCAGAUGGAGCUAUAAUUUUUGUCAUAGUUACUCUGAUAGGGCAUUACUGAUUUGAUAUUUGGGAAAUAACAUUGCUAUGAUGAUAAAUUAAUGGCUUGUUUCUCAAAACAUUUGCAGUUCCCGCAUAAGAGCUUUCGCCCUGACAGGCUGCUAUCCUACACUCUCACUGGAAAGUUCCAUGUGUCGACUAAUAAUAUCUAAUACUCCCUCCGUUCCUAAAUAUUUGUCUUUUUAGAGAUUUCAAAUGGACAACGACAUACGGAUGUAUAUAGACAUUUUUUAGAGUGUAGAUUCACUCAUUUUGCUUUGUAUGUAGUCACUUGUUGAAAUCUCUAGAAAGCCAAAUAUUUAGAAACGACAGAGUAAUAUCUGAUUCCUUGCAUUAGCACGGUAGUUGUUCUUUUCCCCCUUGUGAAUUCAUUAAUCUUCCUGUGCAAACCAAGGGUGGCAAAUGAUGUGAAAUACUGAAUCUUCAGUUUCAACUUUGAACCCAAAUUUUGAAGUGCUUAGUUGUGCAAUUUUUGGACAAUGACAUUUGUUUGUUCAACACUCCUGUGGUUUUCAUUUGAGUGAUUGCAUUAAGUACAAGGGGAAAUAUGGUUGAAUUUCUUAAUAUAAGCCAUAUGAAUAUUAAUUCUUAUUUUUGCACUUUUCUUCAGAGAUUUUUGUUUUCUAUUUUGACAAGACUUCCAUGACAAUUCUGCUUUUGAGAAUUUAUGACUGAAAAAUCUGAUAUAUUGAUUUGACCCAUUGCAGUUUACAAAAGCGGUUUUAGCCCAGUGGUGAUACCUGGGAAUUCAUGAUUAAUUAGCCUGGUGGUGAUAGCUUACAUGUGUACUUAGUCUUAAUUAGGAGAUUGUAAUUUGUUCUAAAACAUCAUGUGAAAUUCCAAUGAUGAUAUGCCCAACAUUUGGAGGUGCAGACGGCUCCAGGAUCUUGUUUACAGGAUGAACCUACCUGGAGGCGCUGUAUCCAUGUGACAUCAAUGGUUUUGUGGCAUUGCGGAGAUGAAUUAUGAAGUUUUGCAUGUAGAUGCAUCUGGUGGCAAUGAGAAGUCAUAUCAUAUGACUGAGCAAUGAAAUGCCAUCUGUAAUGUUUCGGGACUGCCUCACCAUUGCCUUUCAACUGUGGAUGAUUUUGCCAUUUGUACUUGUGAAGAAUGUUCAUACGUGCUGCAACAAAACAGAUGUUAUUUGUGAUGUUGCGGUCAUGGAUUAAACUACAUCAUAGACAAGCAUAUGUCUGAAUUUUCUUAUGUGGAACUUUGUGUGUUUCUUAUAAGUGUGGGCCAAAGAUGGAGUACGGGACAUAGCCAACAGUUUGAUGAUUUUUUUCAUGCCCUUACAUGCUAUAGUUAACUUUAGUGUGUGACAUGAUAAGAUGGUUGACUAUGUCCGCACUCCAUCCGAACUGUUUGUUGUUGAUUCUUCUGGUCCAGCUUUUGUUGCUACGUUCCUUCUUGGCCGCAAUCUUUCUGAAUGCUGUAGAUCUGAUCUUGUUCCCUGUUGAUUUUUUUUUGAUGCGUUGUUCCCUGUUGAAUUCUCUGCCCUCUUCCUCUUAACAGCGUGCCCUUCUGGCAAUGUCUCCUUGCUGGUCAAUAAUUGAAGAAAAAUAAUCUCAAUUUAAAGACUUCAUUUUUUCACCAAGCGUGAUUUCCCUUGAGAGCUCCAUCAACAACGGAGGGGCCAUAAGGGUCGGUAAUGCUCAGCACAUUCCUCAAAAUCAGGCUUGGCGAAAGCAAUUGUAGCAUGAUAUACUGUUUAGUGCAAGUUUGAAGUUCCGGCGUGCGGUGAACAAUCAAAGGACUAGGAUAGCCAGAAAGGUUUUCAAUGUAUUUUUAAUGUUAAGUUGUCUGAGCUGUUCUCUUUUAUACUGGAUACUGUUUUCCUUGAUGAAUAAGAUAACCAUCUGAA